GACGAACGCUGGCGGCGUGCUUAACACAUGCAAGUCGAACGGAAAGGCCCUGCUUUUGUGGGGUGCUCGAUUGGCGAACGGGUGAGUAACACGUGAGUAACCUGCCCUUGACUUUGGGAUAACUUCAGGAAACUGGGGCUAAUACCGUAUAGGAGCUCCUGCUGCAUGGUGGGGGUUGGAAAGUUUCGGCGGUUGGGGAUGGACUCGCGGCUUAUCAGCUUGUUGGUGGGGUAGUGGCUUACCAAGGCUUUGACGGGUAGCCGGCCUGAGAGGGUGACCGGCCACAUUGGGACUGAGAUACGGCCCAGACUCCUACGGGAGGCAGCAGUGGGGAAUAUUGCACAAUGGGCGGAAGCCUGAUGCAGCAACGCCGCGUGCGGGAUGACGGCCUUCGGGUUGUAAACCGCUUUCGCCUGUGACGAAGCGUGAGUGACGGUAAUGGGUAAAGAAGCACCGGCUAACUACGUG
RNAcentral lists this ribosomal RNA (468 nucleotides) under uncultured bacterium. RNAcentral's name for it is "partial 16S ribosomal RNA". It matches the Rfam family "Bacterial small subunit ribosomal RNA", at positions 28 to 507 of the family's 1533-position model. The record is from RNAcentral.